UACGGAGGGUGCAAACGUUGCUCGGAAUCAUUGGGCGUAAAGCGCACGUAGGCGGACCGCUAAGUCGGCUGUGAAAGCCCUCGGCUUAACCGAGGAAGUGCAUUCGAAACUGACAGUCUUGAGUAUGGAAGAGGGUCGCGGAAUUCCCGGUGUAGAGGUGAAAUUCGUAGAUAUCGGGAGGAACACCAGUGGCGAAGGCGGCGACCUGGGCCAAUACUGACGCUGAGGUGCGAAAGCGUGGGGAGCAAACAGG
RNAcentral lists this ribosomal RNA (253 nucleotides) under uncultured bacterium. RNAcentral's name for it is "partial 16S ribosomal RNA". It matches the Rfam family "Bacterial small subunit ribosomal RNA", at positions 524 to 776 of the family's 1533-position model. The record is from RNAcentral.